UCCUCCCUCUCUCUCCUCCCUCUCCCUCCAAGUCUGGCACUGAACGCGAACUGUUUUGCUUUGCUCCGGGAAGAGUGCACAUCGUGAAAUCUGAGCUUUUUUUUUUUUUUCUUUUUUGGCGUGGAGCAUUUAAAACGCUUCCUUAUUUAUAUUACCCUCCUUCCCUCACCUCUCCCACCCCCUCACCAGUCCUUCCAAAUUUCCCUAGAAAUCCUUGUGAGGCGUGCGGAGGGGAAAGCAUUUGCACAAAAAGUGAAGGAGCUGGCCAAGGCGCACCAAGGACCAGGAGGAGAGCAGAUGAAUUUCCAGAGCAGUGCCCACACACCCAGGACACAACUCAUGCUCUGCCUCGUGCUUUCUGCAAUGUUGCUGUGCCCGUUCAUCUUCCUGUUAACCCUUGCCAUCCUAACCCCCCCCCCCUUUCCUGACCACCACCUCCCCUCCAUUCACCCACCACCCACUCAGCUCUUUCCCCACGGUGCCCCUUGUUAGGGACCGCGGAAUUGGUCUCUGGAGAAUUCCACGUUGAGUCCUAUGCAGAUGACAGACACUAGGUUCCAUCUCUUCUGCCCACACCUCAUGCCAAACCCAGCCCAGCAGCCAGUAAGCCCCCUUAGUCAGGAAAACCAGAGCCAAUCCUACCUUCUUCAAGAUGGCGCUGCGAGAUCCUCGGCCAGAGCAGUCACAGCCGCAGUCAAUGAAGGGACCCCAAGGUGUAUCUGAGGGGUGCUCUAACUGAAACCCAAUGGAAAGACCAGGGACCGCCUAAACUGUCAGAUCUUGUGAGAGAGCUUACACAUGACUCACAUGCCAAAGGUGGUGGGGGUAAGGCAGAGAGGAAAGAGAAAGUCUCAGAAUCGGAUUGCCCCUGAAUACGAGAUGGAAUCAUCUCGUUGGUCUGGUUUGGUUCCCCUGCCCACUCCCAGCCCACCCCCCUCAAUUAAAUGGUCAUUUCAUUCUA
Long non-coding RNA from Echinops telfairi (small Madagascar hedgehog), 961 nucleotides. RefSeq lists it as uncharacterized. NCBI's taxonomy places the organism in Eukaryota, Metazoa, Chordata, Mammalia, Afrosoricida, Tenrecidae. The record is from RefSeq and is a predicted model, not a curated record. The transcript is spliced from 2 exons.